RNAcentral lists this ribosomal RNA (783 nucleotides) under uncultured bacterium. RNAcentral's name for it is "bacterial SSU rRNA". It matches the Rfam family "Bacterial small subunit ribosomal RNA", at positions 8 to 838 of the family's 1533-position model. The record is from RNAcentral.
AGAGUUUGAUCCUGGCUCAGAACGAACGCUGGCGGCAGGCCUAAUACAUGCAAGUCGAGCGCGCCCUUCGGGGUGAGCGGCGGACGGGUGAGUAACGCGUGGGAAUAUGCCCUUCUCUAAGGAAUAGCCUCGGGAAACUGAGAGUAAUACCUUAUACGCCCUUCGGGGGAAAGAUUUAUCGGAGAAGGAUUAGCCCGCGUUAGAUUAGGUAGUUGGUGGGGUAAUGGCCUACCAAGCCUACGAUCUAUAGCUGGUUUGAGAGGAUGAUCAGCCACACUGGGACUGAGACACGGCCCAGACUCCUACGGGAGGCAGCAGUAGGGAAUCUUAGACAAUGGGGGAAACCCUGAUCUAGCCAUGCCGCGUGUGUGAUGAAGGCCUUAGGGUCGUAAAGCACUUUCGCCAGAGAUGAUAAUGACAGUAUCUGGUAAAGAAACCCCGGCUAACUCCGUGCCAGCAGCCGCGGUAAUACGGAGGGGGUUAGCGUUGUUCGGAAUUACUGGGCGUAAAGCGCACGUAGGCGGAUUAGUAAGUUAAGGGUGAAAUCCCAGGGCUCAACCCUGGAACUGCCUUUAAUACUGCUAGUCUUGAGUUCGAGAGAGGUAAGUGGAAUUCCAAGUGUAGAGGUGAAAUUCGUAGAUAUUUGGAGGAACACCAGUGGCGAAGGCGGCUUACUGGCUCGAAACUGACGCUGAGGUGCGAAAGUGUGGGGAGCAAACAGGAUUAGAUACCCUGGUAGUCCACACCGUAAACGAUGAAUGCCAGACGUCAGCAAGUAUACUU